UGGUAGUCUCCUUCCAUCAAGCUGUUCAGUUCAGUGGCCUUCAGCGGUAAAGCUCUUAGGAUACCCCCUGGAACAGGACUGGUGAACGAGGCCACAAACAUGGGAGAGCUCCUUUUACUUAGCGUGCUAAGUUGAUUCAGCUCCUUAGGAUGUAUGCUGGAAACCAAGAGGAUACUGGAACAUGACAGCAAUGUUUAUGAAUGCAUCAGACCUUGAUAAUAGCCAGCUUUCAGACUGAUUCAACUGUCAGGAACACCAAGUGUAUAACUUCAGUUUAAACCAGAUGUUGUCUUCCUAUGGAUUCUAUAAAAGAACUUUUGGUUCAGCCUACACCUCUCAGAUCUGACGGAUUACUGUUCUUCCAUGAAGGAUCUCACACUGCCCCUAAAUUUCUUGAUGUGGCAAUUCAGGCUGAAUUUGUCUAUGAUUUGGAAAGCUCCCAGAAAAAAAAUCAAGAGUGGGAACCAUCAAGUGUUACAGCAGUGCAAGAAAUAGCUUAUUUAGCUAAGUGUAUUGAAGACAGACUUGAUAUUGUCAGACACUCAAUGGAACAAGCUCCAGGAAACCUUCCUUCCAGAAAAUAAAAAUGGAAUUUGAAAUUUAAAACAUGAUGUGCUCAUGGAAGAAUGCAUAGCAACCUGUGAUGUUAUAUGAUUCAUUUCUAUAUACACAUGGAAAGAUUUUACAGAAAAGUAUGAUGGGAGAUGUACAGGAUAUUUAAAGUGACAUGAAGACUAUUCCACAUAAUGAUACUUAUUUAAUCUAUCAAGAGCUAGAAUAAAGGCUUAAAUACUUGUGUUUGCCCUCUUAUCUUUCAGUAAGUUGUCACAUCAUGCCUCAUUCCAUUACCUAUUCAAUCAUCCUUUAAACCUGGUUAUGUGUUUAGAGGGGAAGGCUGGUGAAGAGAGUAAAACAAAAUGAACAUGUUCUUCAUUUGCUAAAUCCCUAAAGAUCUUGCUGAAAUUUUACAAAAAAAAAUAUGUUUUAGAUAUAUAUGAAGCUAGUGUCAAAGAAGUCAGUGCUUUAAGUUGAAAAUUUUACAUGGCUUUGGUUGAUUUCUUCUUUGUUUAGGAAUUUUGUAACUAAUAUUAUGUGGGUUUUAAUGGUUUGAACUGCUGUUGCUUCUGUUUGGAAAGGUUUGGGGACAUGUUUUGUUCAUAGUUCAAGGUUUCAUCUGAGCGCAAACAUAAAUAUCCAAUUUUUCAGAUCCUUGAAGUGUACGGUUCUAAAUAUCAGUAUGGGUGUUAGAAGGCAUAUAGCACCUUUGAAAAAGGCCACUGGAGAAAACUAGGGGAAAUGACUACAAAUUGCACUAGGAGAGAUUUCAUCUUGACUUAAGAAAGAAAUAUUUCACAGUAAGAGCAACCUCCCUAGGGAUAUAGUAGAGUCCCAUGGCUGGAGGUUUUCAAGAUGUGACUGGACAGGGUGCUAGAUAAUCUCAUCUAGGCUCGCUUUCUCAUGAUAAACCUCCCAGCAUGACUGCCUAAGGCUUGACAGGAACAGAACCAAGAUCUCCGGGUUUAUAAGACUGGGCUUUAAUUUUGAGCCUGGAGCAAAUAUUUGUAAUCCUCUCCAUCUCUACCGACUCGCUCUAAAAGUAGAAUAUAAGUCCUGGUAUUAGUGAGAACUGAAUUUAGUUUAAAGGAUUGGGUCCUGUUCUUUUUGGAUUAUUUCUAUUUAAAAUGUAUUUCACUGAUUUAUUGUGGGUUGUUUUUAUUUGUGGCAGACAGCUGUAUCUGGUUAUACGGUUUAUUGUUUUGUAUUAAAUUUCUGAGCUGAUUUUAUGUCAUCUAUAUGUAAAUAAAUUGCACUGCCAAAGUUGGGGGUUGACCUCCCAGCGUUUGCGUAGGAGUUAUGAUCAGAUGUAUCCUCAGGUGAGUUAACUGAAUUGUUAAGACUAAUGACUACACACUCUCCAUUAAGGAUGGGAAGUUCACAUUUACGGGAGAUACAAUCCCUUGUAUCCUUUGUAAACUCUUGUGUGUAUACAUCAGUCAAAGAAGGCAUGAGUGAACAAGAACUCUCUCGUGUGUAUACAGUAAUGCAUUUUGCUAUGCAAAUGAUCAACAAAGGCUUUGAAGCUUGAAAUAUUUCCUGAUUUAUUUCUUAAUGUUUUCUAUGGGGGCAUGUGUACCUUGUAAGCCAAUAUGGCCUGAUAGAGGUGGUUUUGUGUCACUGGUGAGUGAUUGCAUGCUUUGUGGGUCAUUCACAUUAACAUUUUGAUUAUGAUGGGAAGUUACAGAGGACGAGCUGCAGACGAUGAUAUUUCACUGGAAUGUAUUAAUUUAGAUGAAGA
This is a long non-coding RNA of Melopsittacus undulatus (budgerigar), 2296 nucleotides long. RefSeq lists it as uncharacterized. The record is from RefSeq and is a predicted model, not a curated record. The transcript is spliced from 5 exons. NCBI's taxonomy places the organism in Eukaryota, Metazoa, Chordata, Aves, Psittaciformes, Psittaculidae.